CGGGACGGGUGAGUAAUGUCUGGGAAACUGCCUGAUGGAGGGGGAUAACUACUGGAAACGGUAGCUAAUACCGCAUAACGUCGCAAGAUCAAAGAGGGGGACCUUCGGGCCUCUUGCCAUCGGAUGUGCCCAGAUGGGAUUAGCUAGUAGGUGGGGUAACGGCUCACCUAGGCGACGAUCCCUAGCUGGUCUGAGAGGAUAACCAGCCACACUGGAACUGAGACACGGUCCAG
This 233-nucleotide ribosomal RNA is filed under the name uncultured bacterium. RNAcentral's name for it is "partial 16S ribosomal RNA". It matches the Rfam family "Bacterial small subunit ribosomal RNA", at positions 100 to 334 of the family's 1533-position model. The record is from RNAcentral.